Molecule: long non-coding RNA, 374 nt
Organism: Ostrea edulis (European flat oyster)
Lineage: Eukaryota; Metazoa; Mollusca; Bivalvia; Ostreida; Ostreidae
Exons: 2
Source: RefSeq, a predicted model, not a curated record
CGGAAACUUUAGACGUGGCAACACGCUAGAAUAAAGCAGUAUACUGCGUUGUCAGCACCCUAAUGGAGGACGGGCACGUGGUGUAAAUAUGGCGUCGCCCAUAAAUGAGAUGACUUGGUUGAGCCAGGAAUUUCGAGGAAAAAAAACUUUUUUCACAUCACCCCUUCGCAUUAGUGUAAUUAACAGCUGGACAAGAAGGCAUCAUCAUAUUUAUUCGUAAAAUCUACCGCAUGCACAUCUUUGAUGACCUUAGAAUCUCAUCAAAACCGGAACAGACAGUGUGACGUCAAAAUGAUUGAUUUUUGUGGUCUUCAAUACAAAAGAGUUCCACAUCAUGGCAGCCUCUAUUGAUGACGGGAAUUAAAUUUUUUAAC